CUACGUGCCAGCAGCCGCGGUAAUACGUAGGUCCCGAGCGUUGUCCGGAUUUAUUGGGCGUAAAGCGAGCGCAGGCGGUUAGAUAAGUCUGAAGUUAAAGGCUGUGGCUUAACCAUAGUACGCUUUGGAAACUGUUUAACUUGAGUGCAAGAGGGGAGAGUGGAAUUCCAUGUGUAGCGGUGAAAUGCGUAGAUAUAUGGAGGAACACCGGUGGCGAAAGCGGCUCUCUGGCUUGUAACUGACGCUGAGGCUCGAAAGCGUGGGUAGCAAACAGGAUUAGAUACCCUGGUAGUCCACGCCCUAAACGAUGUCAAUUAGCUGUUGGGCAACUUGAUUGCUUAGUAGCGUAGCUAACGCGUGAAAUUGACCGCCUGGGGAGUACGGUCGCAAGAUUAAAACUCAAAGGAAUUGACGGGGACCCGCACAAGCGGUGGAUGAUGUGGAUUAAUUCGAUGCAACGCGAAGAACCUUACCUGGUCUUGACAU
RNAcentral lists this ribosomal RNA (486 nucleotides) under uncultured bacterium. Its description in RNAcentral is "bacterial SSU rRNA". It matches the Rfam family "Bacterial small subunit ribosomal RNA", at positions 501 to 987 of the family's 1533-position model. The record is from RNAcentral.